This 539-nucleotide ribosomal RNA is filed under the name uncultured bacterium. RNAcentral's name for it is "bacterial SSU rRNA". It matches the Rfam family "Bacterial small subunit ribosomal RNA", at positions 274 to 805 of the family's 1533-position model. The record is from RNAcentral.
CAAUGAUGCAUAGCCGAGUUGAGAGACUGAUCGGCCACAUUGGGACUGAGACACGGCCCAAACUCCUACGGGAGGCAGCAGUAGGGAAUCUUCCACAAUGGACGAAAGUCUGAUGGAGCAACGCCGCGUGAGUGAAGAAGGGUUUCGGCUCGUAAAGCUCUGUUGGUAGUGAAGAAAGAUAGAGGUAGUAACUGGCCUUUAUUUGACGGUAAUUACUUAGAAAGUCACGGCUAACUACGUGCCAGCAGCCGCGGUAAUACGUAGGUGGCAAGCGUUGUCCGGAUUUAUUGGGCGUAAAGCGAGUGCAGGCGGUUCAAUAAGUCUGAUGUGAAAGCCUUCGGCUCAACCGGAGAAUUGCAUCAGAAACUGUUGAACUUGAGUGCAGAAGAGGAGAGUGGAACUCCAUGUGUAGCGGUGGAAUGCGUAGAUAUAUGGAAGAACACCAGUGGCGAAGGCGGCUCUCUGGUCUGCAACUGACGCUGAGGCUCGAAAGCAUGGGUAGCGAACAGGAUUAGAUACCCUGGUAGUCCAUGCCGUAA